UAGGGAAUCUUCGGCAAUGGACGAAAGUCUGACCGAGCAACGCCGCGUGAGUGAAGAAGGUUUUCGGAUCGUAAAACUCUGUUGGUAGAGAAGAACGUUGGUGAGAGUGGAAAGCUCAUCAAGUGACGGUAACUACCCAGAAAGGGACGGCUAACUACGUCNCA
This 164-nucleotide ribosomal RNA is filed under the name uncultured bacterium. RNAcentral's name for it is "partial 16S rRNA". It matches the Rfam family "Bacterial small subunit ribosomal RNA", at positions 355 to 510 of the family's 1533-position model. The record is from RNAcentral.